AAGCUUACCAUGCAGUCGAGCGCCCCGCAAGGGGAGCGGCAGACGGGUGAGUAACGCGUGGGAACGUACCUUUUGCUACGGAAUAACUCAGGGAAACUUGUGCUAAUACCGUAUGUGCCCUUCGGGGGAAAGAUUUAUCGGCAAAGGAUCGGCCCGCGUUGGAUUAGCUAGUUGGUGAGGUAAAGGCUCACCAAGGCGACGAUCCAUAGCUGGUCUGAGAGGAUGAUCAGCCACACUGGGACUGAGACACGGCCCAGACUCCUACGGGAGGCAGCAGUGGGGAAUAUUGGACAAAUGGGCGCAAGCCCUGAUCCAGCCAUGCCCGCGGUGAGUGAUGAAAGGCCCCUAGGGGGUUGUUAAAGGCUCUUUUCACCCGGGUGAAAGAUAAAUGACGGGUAAACCGGG
This 405-nucleotide ribosomal RNA is filed under the name Brucella anthropi. RNAcentral's name for it is "bacterial SSU rRNA". It matches the Rfam family "Bacterial small subunit ribosomal RNA", at positions 44 to 481 of the family's 1533-position model. The record is from RNAcentral. Lineage: Bacteria; Pseudomonadati; Pseudomonadota; Alphaproteobacteria; Hyphomicrobiales; Brucellaceae.